GAGUUUGAUCCUGGCUCAGGACGAACGCUGGCGGCGCGCCUAACACAUGCAAGUCGAACGAGCGAGAGAGAGCUUGCUUUCUCAAGCGAGUGGCGAACGGGUGAGUAACGCGUGAGGAACCUGCCUCAAAGAGGGGGACAACAGUUGGAAACGACUGCUAAUACCGCAUAAGCCCACAGGUCGGCAUCGACCAGAGGGAAAAGGAGCAAUCCGCUUUGAGAUGGCCUCGCGUCCGAUUAGCUGGUUGGUGAGGUAACGGCCCACCAAGGCGACGAUCGGUAGCCGGACUGAGAGGUUGAACGGCCACAUUGGGACUGAGACACGGCCCAGACUCCUACGGGAGGCAGCAGUGGGGAAUAUUGCACAAUGGGGGAAACCCUGAUGCAGCGACGCCGCGUGGAGGAAGAAGGUCUUCGGAUUGUAAACUCCUGUUGUUGAGGAAGAUAAUGACGGUACUCAACAAGGAAGUGACGGCUAACUACGUGCCAGCAGCCGCGGUAAAACGUAGGUCACAAGCGUUGUCCGGAAUUACUGGGUGUAAAGGGAGCGCAGGCGGGAAGACAAGUUGGAAGUGAAAUCUAUGGGCUCAACCCAUAAACUGCUUUCAAAACUGUUUUCUUGAGUAGUGCAGAGGUAGGCGGAAUUCCCGGUGUAGCGGUGGAAUGCGUAGAUAUCGGGAGGAACACCAGUGGCGAAGGCGGCCUACUGGGCACCAACUGACGCUGAGGCUCGAAAGUGUGGGUAGCAAACAGGAUUAGAUACCCUGGUAGUCCACACCGUAAACGAUGAUUACUAGGUGUUGGAGGAUUGACCCCUUCAGAGCCGCAGUUAACACAAUAAGUAAUCCACCUGGGGAGUACGACCGCAAGGUUGAAACUCAAAGGAAUUGACGGGGGCCCGCACAAGCAGUGGAGUAUGUGGUUUAAUUCGACGCAACGCGAAGAACCUUACCAAGUCUUGACAUCCUGCGACGCACAUAGAAAUAUGUGUUUCCUUCGGGACGCAGAGACAGGUGGUGCAUGGUUGUCGUCAGCUCGUGUCGUGAGACGUUGGGUUAAGUCCCGCAACGAGCGCAACCCUUACUGUCAGUUACUACGCAAGAGGACUCUGGCAGGACUGCCGUUGACAAAACGGAGGAAGGUGGGGAUGACGUCAAAUCAUCAUGCCCUUUAUGACUUGGGCUACACACGUACUACAAUGGCGUUAAACAAAGAGAAGCAAGACCGCGAGGUGGAGCAAAACUCAGACACAACGUCCCAGUUCGGACUGCAGGCUGCAACUCGCCUGCACGAAGUCGGAAUUGCUAGUAAUCGUGGAUCAGCAUGCCACGGUGAAUACGUUCCCGGGCCUUGACACACCGCCCGUC
RNAcentral lists this ribosomal RNA (1366 nucleotides) under uncultured bacterium. RNAcentral's name for it is "bacterial SSU rRNA". It matches the Rfam family "Bacterial small subunit ribosomal RNA". The record is from RNAcentral.